This 424-nucleotide ribosomal RNA is filed under the name uncultured bacterium. RNAcentral describes it as "bacterial SSU rRNA". It matches the Rfam family "Bacterial small subunit ribosomal RNA", at positions 355 to 776 of the family's 1533-position model. The record is from RNAcentral.
UGAGGAAUAUUGGUCAAUGGGCGCGAGCCUGAACCAGCCAUCCCGCGUGCAGGAAGAAUGCCCUAUGGGUUGUAAACUGCUUUUUCGCAUGAAGAACAUUCCGGUUGCGACCGGGACUGACGGUAAUGCGUGAAUAAGCACCGGCUAACUCCGUGCCAGCAGCCGCGGUAAUACGGAGGGUGCAAGCGUUAUCCGGAUUUAUUGGGUUUAAAGGGUGCGUAGGCGGCGAUUUAAGUCAGUGGUGAAAUCCUGCAGCUUAACUGUAGAACAGCCAUUGAAACUGAAUUACUUGAGUGAUCUUGAGGUAGGCGGAAUGUGUAGUGUAGCGGUGAAAUGCUUAGAUAUUACACAGAACACCGAUUGCGAAGGCAGCUUACUAAGGAUUUACUGACGCUGAUGCACGAAAGCGUGGGGAUCAAACAGG